GACGAGGGAUCCUAGCGUUGUUCGGAAUCAUUGGGCGUAAAGCGGGUGUAGGUGGCUUUGUAAGUCAGGUGUGAAAGCCCAGGGCUCAACCCUGGAAGUGCAUUUGAUACUGCGAAGCUUGAGUGCUGGAGAGGCUACUAGAAUACCUAGUGUAGUGGUGAAAUACGUAGAUAUUAGGUGGAAUACCGGAGGCGAAGGCGGGUAGCCAGCCAGACACUGACACUCAGACCCGAAAGUGUGGGGAUCAAACAGG
RNAcentral lists this ribosomal RNA (253 nucleotides) under uncultured Bdellovibrio sp. RNAcentral describes it as "partial 16S ribosomal RNA". It matches the Rfam family "Bacterial small subunit ribosomal RNA", at positions 524 to 776 of the family's 1533-position model. The record is from RNAcentral. Lineage: Bacteria; Pseudomonadati; Bdellovibrionota; Bdellovibrionia; Bdellovibrionales; Pseudobdellovibrionaceae.